UCUGUUGUUAGGAAGAACAAGUACCGUUCGAAUAGGGCGGUACCUUGACGGUACCUAACCAGAAAGCCACGGCUAACUACGUGCCAGCAGCCGCGGUAAUACGUAGGUGGCAAGCGUUGUCCGGAAUUAUUGGGCGUAAAGGGCUCGCAGGCGGUUUCUUAAGUCUGAUGUGAAAGCCCCCGGCUCAACCGGGGAGGGUCAUUGGAAACUGGGGAACUUGAGUGCAGAAGAGGAGAGUGGAAUUCCACGUGUAGCGGUGAAAUGCGUAGAGAUGUGGAGGAACACCAGUGGCGAAGGCGACUCUCUGGUCUGUAACUGACGCUGAGGAGCGAAAGCGUGGGGAGCGAACAGGAUUAGAUACCCUGGUAGUCCACGCCGUAAACGAUGAGUGCUAAGUGUUA
Molecule: ribosomal RNA, 401 nt
Filed under: Bacillus subtilis
Lineage: Bacteria; Bacillati; Bacillota; Bacilli; Caryophanales; Bacillaceae
Description: bacterial SSU rRNA
Rfam family: Bacterial small subunit ribosomal RNA
Source: RNAcentral